UGAUGUUAGCGGCGGACGGGUGAGUAACACGUGGGUAACCUGCCUGUAAGACUGGGAUAACUCCGGGAAACCGGGGCUAAUACCGGAUGCUUGUUUGAACCGCAUGGUUCAAACAUAAAAGGUGGCUUCGGCUACCACUUACAGAUGGACCCGCGGCGCAUUAGCUAGUUGGUGAGGUAAUGGCUCACCAAGGCGACGAUGCGUAGCCGACCUGAGAGGGUGAUCGGCCACACUGGGACUGAGACACGGCCCAGACUCCUACGGGAGGCAGCAGUAGGGAAUCUUCCGCAAUGGACGAAAGUCUGACGGAGCAACGCCGCGUGAGUGAUGAAGGUUUUCGGAUCGUAAAGCUCUGUUGUUAGGGAAGAACAAGUACCGUUCGAAUAGGGCGGUACCUUGACGGUACCUAACCAGAAAGCCACGGCUAACUACGUGCCAGCAGCCGCGGUAAUACGUAGGUGGCAAGCGUUGUCCGGAAUUAUUGGGCGUAAAGGGCUCGCAGGCGGUUUCUUAAGUCUGAUGUGAAAGCCCCCGGCUCAACCGGGGAGGGUCAUUGGAAACUGGGGAACUUGAGUGCAGAAGAGGAGAGUGGAAUUCCACGUGUAGCGGUGAAAUGCGUAGAGAUGUGGAGGAACACCAGUGGCGAAGGCGACUCUCUGGUCUGUAACUGACGCUGAGGAGCGAAAGCGUGGGGAGCGAACAGGAUUAGAUACCCUGGUAGUCCACGCCGUAAACGAUGAGUGCUAAGUG
RNAcentral lists this ribosomal RNA (750 nucleotides) under Bacillus sonorensis. RNAcentral describes it as "bacterial SSU rRNA". It matches the Rfam family "Bacterial small subunit ribosomal RNA", at positions 87 to 822 of the family's 1533-position model. Lineage: Bacteria; Bacillati; Bacillota; Bacilli; Caryophanales; Bacillaceae. The record is from RNAcentral.